UGGGGGAUAUUGCACAAUGGGCGAAAGCCUGAUGCAGCGACGCCGCGUGGGGGAUGAAGGCUUUCGGGUUGUAAACCUCUUUCGCUAUCGAACAAGGCCCGCUUAGGGUGGGUUGAGGGUAGGUGGAGAAGAAGCGCCGGCUAACUACGUGCCAGCAGCCGCGGUAUACGUAGGGCGCGAGCGUUGUCCGGAAUUAUUGGGCGUAAAGGGCUUGUAGGCGGCUUGUUGCGCCUGCUGUGAAAACGCGGGGCUUAACUUCGCGCGUGCAGUUGGUACGGGCAGGCUUGAGUGUGGUAGGGGUGACUGGAAUUCCAGGUGUAGCGGUGGAAUGCGCAGAUAUCUGGAGGAACACCGAUGGCGAAGGCAGGGCACUGGGCCAUUACUGACGCUGAGGAGCGAAAGCAUGGGUAGCGAACAGG
This 419-nucleotide ribosomal RNA is filed under the name bacterium. RNAcentral describes it as "partial 16S ribosomal RNA". It matches the Rfam family "Bacterial small subunit ribosomal RNA", at positions 355 to 776 of the family's 1533-position model. The record is from RNAcentral.